Molecule: ribosomal RNA, 468 nt
Filed under: uncultured bacterium
Lineage: Bacteria
Description: partial 16S ribosomal RNA
Rfam family: Bacterial small subunit ribosomal RNA
Source: RNAcentral
GACGAACGCUGGCGGCGUGCUUAACACAUGCAAGUCGAACGGAAAGGCCCUGCUUUUGUGGGGUGCUCGAGUGGCGAACGGGUGAGUAACACGUGAGUAACCUGCCCUUGACUUUGGGAUAACUUCAGGAAACUGGGGCUAAUACCGGAUAGGAGCUCCUGCUGCAUGGUGGGGGUUGGAAAGUUUCGGCGGUUGGGGAUGGACUCGCGGCUUAUCAGCUUGUUUGUGGGGUAGUUGCUUACCAAGGCUUUGACGGGUAGCCGGCCUGAGAGGGUGACCGGCCACAUUGGGACUGAGAUACGGCACAGAAUCCUACGGGAGGCAGCAGUGGGGAAUAUUGCACAAUGGGCGGAAGCCUGAUGCAGCAACGCAGCGUGCGGGAUGACGGCCUUCGGGUUGUAAACCGCUUUAGCCUGUGACGAAGAGUGAGUGACGGUAAUGGGUAAAGAAGCACCGGCUAACUACGUG